Molecule: ribosomal RNA, 36 nt
Filed under: Solanum dimidiatum
Lineage: Eukaryota; Viridiplantae; Streptophyta; Magnoliopsida; Solanales; Solanaceae
Description: partial 26S ribosomal RNA
Source: RNAcentral
CGACCCCAGGUCAGGCGGGAUCACCCGCUGAGUUUA